RNAcentral lists this unclassified non-coding RNA (208 nucleotides) under Clostridiales bacterium. RNAcentral describes it as "Bacterial large signal recognition particle RNA". It matches the Rfam family "Bacterial large signal recognition particle RNA". Rfam says of the family: The signal recognition particle (SRP) is a universally conserved ribonucleoprotein involved in the co-translational targeting of proteins to membranes. Archaeal SRP consists of a 7S RNA and homologues of the eukaryotic SRP19 and SRP54 proteins. Lineage: Bacteria; Bacillati; Bacillota; Clostridia; Eubacteriales. The record is from RNAcentral.
ACCGGCAGGGAAAGAAACCUGCGGCUCUUGCUUUUCAUGGCGGAAAACGGUAUACUAUGCAUUGCCGUUUGCGCGAUGAGGAUUGGGUCCUGUGCGAUCCUCCGGUGUGAACCCUGUCAGGUCCUGACGGAAGCAGCAGUAAGCGCUUGCGAGGAUGUGCUGCAGGGGUGCCCGGUCUGAGCGCAGGCGGUUUUUUUUCUGUUCCGGG